UCGCACAUGUACCAUGUACAUGAUGUAUCAAGACCCCUUCUCUCAGUCGCGUGAAUUGUAUGUCUGUAAAUGAAGACUGCAUUAAUUGUGUGCGCGAGGAACCAAUCACCAGAGACAACCCACUCAAAAAGAUAUACAGGAACACGUGUUUUGUCUGU
Molecule: non-coding RNA, 158 nt
Filed under: Thalassiosira minuscula
Lineage: Eukaryota; Bacillariophyta; Thalassiosirophyceae; Thalassiosirales; Thalassiosiraceae
Source: RNAcentral